This 497-nucleotide ribosomal RNA is filed under the name uncultured bacterium. RNAcentral's name for it is "partial 16S ribosomal RNA". It matches the Rfam family "Bacterial small subunit ribosomal RNA", at positions 28 to 507 of the family's 1533-position model. The record is from RNAcentral.
GAUGAACGCUGGCGGCGUGCCUAAUACAUGCAAGUCGAGCGAACAGACGAGGAGCUUGCUCCUCUGACGUUAGCGGCGGACGGGUGAGUAACACGUGGAUAACCUACCUAUAAGACUGGGAUAACUUCGGGAAACCGGAGCUAAUACCGGAUAAUAUAUUGAACCGCAUGGUUCAAUAGUGAAAGACGGUUUUGCUGUCACUUAUAGAUGGAUCCGCGCCGCAUUAGCUAGUUGGUAAGGUAACGGCUUACCAAGGCAACGAUGCGUAGCUGACCUGAGAGGGUGAUCGGCCACACUGGAACUGAGACACGGUCCAGACUCCUACGGGAGGCAGCAGUAGGGAAUCUUCCGCAAUGGGCGAAAGCCUGACGGAGCAACGCCGCGUGAGUGAUGAAGGUCUUCGGAUCGUAAAACUCUGUUAUUAGGGAAGAACAAAUGUGUAAGUAACUACGCACGUCUUGACGGUACCUAAUCAGAAAGCCACGGCUAACUACGUG